UGUGUUGCUACCAUGCUGUGUUGUCAUGUGUUGCUGCCUUGCUAUGUUCUCUUAGGUCUCUCUUUAUGUAGUGUCGUGUUCUCUUGUCGUGAUGUGUUUUGUCCUAUUUUUCAUUUUUUUCAAUUUAAAAUCCCAUCAGGAGGCCUUUCGGUAGGCUGUGAUUGUAUGUAAGAAUUUGUUCUUAACUGACUUGCUUAGUUAAAUAUAUGUAAAAAAAAAAAUAAUAAUAAUAAACUGACCAACAGUAUUGCUCUUUUUGUGAAAUGACCUUGUUACAUUAAAUGUAAUGGGAGACUACAGAGGACCAUAUUGUAUCCCCACAAUACAGUGAUCCUACUCAAUGCGCUCAUUGGUUCCAUGUAUUACUCAAUAGAGGCUUUCUGUCUUCAGAUGGUCUUCAGGUCCUCAUAUUUAAAACCCAAAGGGACCCUCAAGCAUCACACUCAGUCUCAUCAGAGACCAUCGGGGACCAUUGCCUUUGAAUUGGGGGCCUUUGACAUGGUACUGGGCUGGAGACUGGGGCCUUUAGAGAAUGCUUGACCUGCUUCUCAGCAUUGAUACACACAUUCUCAGGGCGAGGCAUGGGUCACCACCGAGGGUUCCACUGUGUGAGUGUGGGUGUGUUAUGAUGAUCUGCCAGCUGCUCUGUGAUGGGAGUCCUGGGCCCUGAGUCCUGGGUGGAAGAUUGGACUAGAAAACUUGGCAGAGACAAAUGUCUCCAGAGAGUAGUGCGGUCUGCCCAACGCAUCAGGGACAAACUACCUGCCCUCCAGGACACCUACAGCAUCUGAUGUCACAGGAAGGCCAAGAAGAUUAAGGACAACAACCACCCGAGCCACUGCCUGUUCACCUCUCUAUCAUCUAGAAGACAAGUGCGGAGUGUGGGCCACAUGGGAAUCCAGCCAUACCGCCGGUGCCUGGCCCCAGCACUGCCUGUCUCUCCUCUCUGUGAAUAUAAGUCAAUGGGGCUGGAGAUUGCGCAUGUUUUCAGACCAACCAUAAUAUAAAAACAUUGCCCCAUUCACUUGAUUCCUGUACGACCACAUUCCAAUGCUCAGAAUUUCUUAAUGCCCUCAUUUCAACUUCAAGAUUGGAGUUAAACCAUCUAUUAAUUCAGAUAGCAUUUCCAUACAUAUGUGGAAUGUGCUUUCAACAAAAGAGGAAGUGGCAACGUGACUUUUCGCCCAUUGACUUAAAUCCUCCAUUGUUCUCAUGGGCUUUGUCUAGAAGUAUGUGUACAGGACUGUAUGCUUCAGCAAUGCAGAAAUCAAGACCAGUUAACUUUUGAGGAUAUUGACACAGAGGUGUUAGCUGUAGCUUUUGGCCUUUUGUUAAGAAUGUACCGUGCCAGAAAAAUAUGCCUGAUGUUGAUAGCUGGAGAUUACGACAUACCUGAUCAACACAAAAGUUAUUCUAAUCUCCCUAGUGGGUGUUUAAUGAUUAACUUUAGUUCUAAAUGAAAAUAAAUUGAUGUUUUUGAGUCUUAGGAGUGAGAGUUAGAAGUAUGUGUACAGUAAUGGGGACUUGGAUGAGUUAGAAGUUAGAUAAGGUCUUGUUAAGGUGAAUUGAUGGAGAAACCAUAACAGCAUGUAGAUUUUAACCAAGGGGAAGAAUUUGACAUGACUAUCUCUGUGACACUAAAAUUCCUGGUUCAGGCCCCAUGUUAGGGCCUAAUUAGUAGACCAGGACAGAUUGUUUCCAAGCCUCAGUGCCAAUGCCUAGACAGAUGAUUAUUAACCAGGAUGACUGGUGCUGGAUACAUGACCAGAACCAGGACCCCAUCCAAAACUGCAACCUUCCUUAGAGCUGAACAGUCAUUAUCAGGACAAUAGCCAUUAACUAACAACGAUCGACUAAGACCAUAAUCUUUAACUAGAACAGACAAUGCUAUUUGGGGCUUGUCUUCCUUGCUCCUCACAUGGUACCAUUUCCAUAAUCAUGUUUUUAAUCAUUCUCUGGAAAUUCAGUCUGCAUGUGCUGAAGAAAAGAACCCCCCCAAAACACUGUUGACCUAGCUUGACUGGAUCCAGAGUUUUAUAUGAUGAUCAUUUUAACAUCAAGGCUCCUCAGAAUAGCAUUUAAAAUAUUUAGAGGAAUGGCAACACAUUGCACACAUGUAAUUACAAUUAUUAUUAAAUGGGGAUUGUGCCACGAGCACAUAGUGAU
Molecule: long non-coding RNA, 2166 nt
Organism: Oncorhynchus gorbuscha (pink salmon)
Lineage: Eukaryota; Metazoa; Chordata; Actinopteri; Salmoniformes; Salmonidae
Exons: 4
Source: RefSeq, a predicted model, not a curated record